GCAGCCGCCGCGGGAAUACGUAGGUGGCAAGCGUUGUCCGGAAUUAUUGGGCGUAAAGCGCGCGCAGGCGGAUAGGUCAGUCUGUCUUAAAGGUUCGGGGCUUAACCCCGUGAUGGGAUGGAAACUGCCAAUCUAGAGUAUCGGAGAGGAAAGUGGAGUUCCUAGUGUAGCGGUGAAAUGCGUAGAUAUUAGGAAGAACACCAGCGGCGAAGGCGACUUUCUGGACGAGAACUGACGCUGAGGCGCGAAAGCCAGGGGAGCGAACGGGAUUAGAGACCCCUGUAGUCCCUGUCUCUUAUACA
Molecule: ribosomal RNA, 302 nt
Filed under: uncultured bacterium
Lineage: Bacteria
Description: partial 16S ribosomal RNA
Rfam family: Bacterial small subunit ribosomal RNA
Source: RNAcentral